GGAGAGGUGGCUGAGUGGCUGAAAGCGGCAGGUUGCUAACCUGUUAUACGUUUUUUUAAGCGUAUCGAGAGUUCGAAUCUCUCUCUCCGCA
Molecule: transfer RNA, 91 nt
Filed under: Candidatus Buchananbacteria bacterium RIFCSPHIGHO2_02_FULL_40_13
Lineage: Bacteria; Candidatus Buchananiibacteriota
Description: tRNA-Ser
Rfam family: tRNA
About the family: Transfer RNA (tRNA) molecules are approximately 80 nucleotides in length.
Source: RNAcentral